This 301-nucleotide ribosomal RNA is filed under the name uncultured bacterium. Its description in RNAcentral is "partial 16S ribosomal RNA". It matches the Rfam family "Bacterial small subunit ribosomal RNA", at positions 509 to 807 of the family's 1533-position model. The record is from RNAcentral.
CAGUCGCCGCGGGAAUACGUAGGGUGCAAGCGUUAAUCGGAAUUACUGGGCGUAAAGCGUGCGCAGGCGGUGUUGUAAGACUGUUGUGAAAGCCCUGGGCUCAACCUGGGAAUUGCAGUGGAUACUGGGUCACUAGAGUGUGGUAGAGGAUAGUGGAAUUUCCGGUGUAGCAGUGAAAUGCGUAGAGAUCGGAAGGAACAUCUGUGGCGAAGGCGACUAUCUGGGACAACACUGACGCUGAGGCACGAAAGCGUGGGGAGCAAACAGGAUUAGAUACCCGGGUAGUCCCUGUCUCUUAUAC